CCAACUCUUAAGUUUCAAUCCAUUCUCUCACCAACAACCAAAAACUCGAAGCUCACGCACAUCCAAGCUAUGCAUGAAGGAAAGCGUAGAAAUGAUACCUAAAUCUCGGCGUUCUCUCAAAUCUGAGAAUCCUUACCCAAACCUAAGCCACCCUUUCUUAGUCUGUCCUUCAACCCCAGUCCUUGUUCAUCUUUUAUGCUCCUCAUUUUCCGAUCAAAUUCGAUCACACUUAAUGGAGCCGAUGCCGUUCUCCUCCUUCCUUGCCAUCUUCGAGAAGAAGACCACCAAAAUCUAUCUAUACCGCCCACUCGGCAACUACAUGGCUUUCAAUUACUCCGAGCACAAGGCCCAGAACCUCGAAGACAACCUCCAAACCCUAAAGUUCUAACUUAGAGCGCCAAACCCGAGCCACGCAGGUUAGAUUCGCACCCUAAAUUCUCAUCCUUCAUCUACAAUUCAAUAAGAAAUUCUUCAAAGUGGUCAAUUUUAUUCUAUUUACGUUUUUAGGGUUUUAAUCCCAAUUUUCAAUUGAGUGAAUCUAUCUAUUUAUGUUUCUAGUCGUUCAGAUCCAGUGUUCGAAAAGGCUUCUCUCCCACCUCUGGGAUCUUUGCCUCCUUCACCCAAUUUUGUUAAAGGCUUGAACACCUUGAGCUACGUUGGUGUAUAUCCUUUCUUUCUAUUUUUGCUUAGGACUAUGAAAGUCACUUGGCCUGAGUUCCGCUUUCCAAUGUGGGUGCCCUGAGGUGGGUUUCGAAUGUGUAUAUGGACUCAUGUCAACUUGUCAAGGCAAAGGUUCAAGAGGAGACGAGAAAGAAAGCUCAAGGAAAUGAGGUUGACAGUGUCAACAAACAUGGAAUUCUCCUAGAUGUUGUCCAAGUGCUUGCAGAUGUGAACCUUGUAAUAACAAAAGCUUAUGUCUCAUCUGAUGGAGUAUGGUUCAUGGAUGAUGGUAGACAGUGCUGGUGAAUCAGAGACAAGAACAUGAUCAAUUAUAUACAAAUUCUGCAGACAUCUUGCUCCAUUAAUGGCUUCAUUUCCUUAGCAGCUCUUGUUUGCUCCAAGCAUCAUGCUAAGUACUGUAACUGUGAAUUUUUACUCUUUCCCUACUUGUGGUUGUUACUUAAAUUUUUAGUGUGUUUAAUGUCAAGGUAGGACCUGCAAGAUUUCAUUGAUUAUUUCUUAGUCUGAGAUUAUGGUAAAAAAGAGAACAGAUAUUUUGGAAAUUCUGUAACUAUAGAAAUUAUUUCCAGCUUGCAAGCUUGUUGCAUUGUUUUUGGUAGCCGGGUUGUGGUUUUGCGCUUUGUGAUAUUUUUGUUUCUUUUCUUGAAUAUGAUAAUCCUUGGCAAAUUAUCAUUUCUAGCUUCACUUUUUGCGCACACAGUUAGCUUUGUUAAUUGAAUGUCUAUAGUUAUAAUGUAAACAAGUAUCAAUCCUUGUUCUGAGCAUAAGGCAGCUGCAAUGUGAUCUGUGGUUUUGUACUAAGUUUCGCUCUUGAAAUAUGUCAUCUUUGCUAAAUUUCUGUGUUUGUGUUGUCUGCAGAUUGCAAGAAUUAUAUGGAACAAUGGCUGUCUUCUCUUCAAAACUUUGAUGCCUCAAUUAGCUGAUAUAUCGGGAGGAUUAUCCGCUUGAAGAAUCAGAGCUGUUACAUAAUUGGCUAAAUUAAAGCUUCUGCUACAUAUCGCUCUAGAUUAGUAUAGUUACUCUAGAUAGUAUUUUUUUGCCUGAUGUUUAUUGAGCUGAUGCUCAUUAGGUUUAUGUAUGAAACAAU
Long non-coding RNA from Rosa rugosa (rugosa rose), 1768 nucleotides. RefSeq lists it as uncharacterized. The transcript has 5 exons. Lineage: Eukaryota; Viridiplantae; Streptophyta; Magnoliopsida; Rosales; Rosaceae. The record is from RefSeq and is a predicted model, not a curated record.